Phrynosoma platyrhinos (Desert horned lizard) is the source of this 71-nucleotide non-coding RNA. NCBI's taxonomy places the organism in Eukaryota, Metazoa, Chordata, Lepidosauria, Squamata, Phrynosomatidae. The record is from the annotation of a GenBank genome assembly.
GCCAGUGUAGUGUAGUGGUUUGAAUGUUGGAUUAUGACUCUGGAGGCCAUGGUUCAAAUCCCUGCUCAACA